UCACCAGCUCAGGAACCUCCCAUAAGGAAUCUACCACAGUCACCAUCUCAGAUACAUGAAGCAGAGAGUGAUACAGCAGCCACUGACCCCAGUCCAACAUAGAAUAACUCCAGUAAAACUUACAUGAACAGGGGGGGCAACUCAAGGAAAAGGUUGACAAAAUAGAAAAAUUGAACAGAAAACUUGAACUUGAAAAGUUUG
Molecule: long non-coding RNA, 201 nt
Organism: Haliotis rubra (blacklip abalone)
Lineage: Eukaryota; Metazoa; Mollusca; Gastropoda; Lepetellida; Haliotidae
Exons: 2
Source: RefSeq, a predicted model, not a curated record